This 259-nucleotide ribosomal RNA is filed under the name uncultured bacterium. RNAcentral describes it as "partial 16S ribosomal RNA". It matches the Rfam family "Bacterial small subunit ribosomal RNA", at positions 40 to 313 of the family's 1533-position model. The record is from RNAcentral.
CGGCGUGCCUAACACAUGCAAGUCGAACGAGAAAGUGGAGCAAUCCAUGAGUAAAGUGGCGACCGGGUGAGUAACACGUGACUAACCUACCUCCGAGUGGGGAAUAACUCCGGGAAACCGGGGCUAAUACCGCAUAACAUCGCAAGAUCAAAGCAGCCCUGCGCUUGGAGAGGGGGUCGCGGCUGAUUAGCUCGUCGGCGGGGUAACGGCCCACCAACGCGAACAUCGGUAUCCGGCCUGAGAGGGCGCACGGACACAC